RNAcentral lists this ribosomal RNA (450 nucleotides) under uncultured bacterium. RNAcentral's name for it is "bacterial SSU rRNA". It matches the Rfam family "Bacterial small subunit ribosomal RNA", at positions 354 to 796 of the family's 1533-position model. The record is from RNAcentral.
GUGGGGAAUAUUGGACAAUGGGCGAAAGCCUGAUCCAGCCAUGCCGCGUGUGUGAAGAAGGUCUUCGGAUUGUAAAGCACUUUAAGUUGGGAGGAAGGGUUGUAACCUAAUACGUUGCAAUUUUGACGUUACCGACAGAAUAAGCACCGGCUAACUUCGUGCCAGCAGCCGCGGUAAUACGAAGGGUGCAAGCGUUAAUCGGAAUUACUGGGCGUAAAGCGCGCGUAGGUGGUUUUGUAAGUUGGAGGUGAAAUCCCCGGGCUCAACCUGGGAACUGCCUCCAAAACUGCAUGACUAGAGUACGGUAGAGGGUAGUGGAAUUUCCUGUGUAGCGGUGAAAUGCGUAGAUAUAGGAAGGAACACCAGUGGCGAAGGCGACUACCUGGACUGAUACUGACACUGAGGUGCGAAAGCGUGGGGAGCAAACAGGAUUAGAUACCCUUGUAGUCC